AUUGAACGCUGGCGGCAGGCCUAACACAUGCAAGUCGAGCGGAUGAAGGGAGCUUGCUCCUGGAUUCAGCGGCGGACGGGUGAGUAAUGCCUAGGAAUCUGCCUGGUAGUGGGGGAUAACGUCCGGAAACGGGCGCUAAUACCGCAUACGUCCUGAGGGAGAAAGUGGGGGAUCUUCGGACCUCACGCUAUCAGAUGAGCCUAGGUCGGAUUAGCUAGUUGGUGGGGUAAAGGCCUACCAAGGCGACGAUCCGUAACUGGUCUGAGAGGAUGAUCAGUCACACUGGAACUGAGACACGGUCCAGACUCCUACGGGAGGCAGCAGUGGGGAAUAUUGGACAAUGGGCGAAAGCCUGAUCCAGCCGUGCCGCGUGUGUGAAGAAGGUCUUCGAAUUGUAAAGCACUUUAAGUUGGGAGGAAGGGCAGUAAAUUAAUACCUUGCUGUUUUGACGUUACCAACAGAAUAAGCACCGGCUAACUUCGUG
This 484-nucleotide ribosomal RNA is filed under the name uncultured bacterium. Its description in RNAcentral is "partial 16S ribosomal RNA". It matches the Rfam family "Bacterial small subunit ribosomal RNA", at positions 30 to 507 of the family's 1533-position model. The record is from RNAcentral.